AUGCAGCAGAAGGUACCUGGCACUGCCCCUGUCACUGUGAUCUACUGGAAUGACAAGCGACCCUCGGACAUCCCUUCGCGAUUCUCCGGGUCCAAGUCCGGCUCCACGGCCACGUUGACCAUCGCUGGGGUCCAAGCCGAGGACGAGGCUGUCUAUUACUGUGGUUCCCUGGUCCAGGCAGCACUGACUCAGCUGGCCUCGGUGUCAGUGAACCUGGGACAGACCAUCCAGAUCACCUGCUCGGGGAGUAGCAACAACUACUAUGGCUGGAUGCAGCAGAAGGCACCUGGUACUGCCCCUAUCACUGUGAUCUACAUGAACGACAAGCGACCCUCGGACAUCCCUUCACGAUUCUCCGGGUCCCAGUCCGGCUCCACGGCCACGUUGAACAUC
Molecule: non-coding RNA, 393 nt
Organism: Merops nubicus (carmine bee-eater)
Lineage: Eukaryota; Metazoa; Chordata; Aves; Coraciiformes; Meropidae
Source: the annotation of a RefSeq genome assembly